RNAcentral lists this long non-coding RNA (2415 nucleotides) under Lupinus angustifolius (narrow-leaved blue lupine). RNAcentral's name for it is "long non-coding RNA (LANG_LNC002859)". Lineage: Eukaryota; Viridiplantae; Streptophyta; Magnoliopsida; Fabales; Fabaceae. The record is from RNAcentral.
CUGUAAGAAGCAUAUUAUAGGUGUAUCAGUACUCAAGUUGCAAAAGUUAAUUCCACUUUUUUGCUUCCUUUAAUUUAUAUCUGAGGUCAUCUUAUGUGUAUUUUUAUUGGGUCUUCUGUUGCAUACAAAUGUCCUGACCUGUAAAACCGGGAGCAUAUCUGCUGUACCACAGAGUAUGCCACUCCAUGUGGCACUGAUUGUGAUUGGUUGUAAAAAAUGCAUGUAAGUUAAAAAAUAAUGAUGAAGUAUUUUUUUGACCAAUCAUAAAUAAUGACAUAUGGAGUGGUACACUUCUAUGGGAUAGCAGAUGUUCACCCAUAAAACCGAGGGUUGUUGUGGCAAUUCAGGCCAAAUGGUUUUUGAGCUAUUGUUUGGCAAUAAACCGCUGAAUCAUUUGAGCUUUGAUUAACAUAUUUUUUUAUGGGAUUCAUUGAAUAACAUAAUUUAUUUCAUUGCAGAUUCAUGAAUCAUGAUUGUCAAUCCUUCAUUACAUGCUUGAAAUUGUUUGUGGAUAAUGUUAUGUUUUAUACACAUUUACGCAUACAUCAUUUCACGUAUGCAUAAUAUCAUUUUAUCAACAAUUAUGCAUACAAAAUUUGUUCUUAUAUAAGAUUGUGUCCUAUACUUAUGUAGCAAACUUUCCAUAAUUAUGUGGUAAAGUUUUAAUAUUCUUAAAUCAUUCACCUUUAACUAGAAUUAGAGUGUCUCUUACUAAAUUUAUAGUUCACAUGUUCUCUCUUUACUAAAAUAAAAGUCAUGUGCUUUGAAAGAUCUCCAUAUCUUUGAUUUCACAUAUCAACUCCCUACUUAUAACAUUAUUCUACAUAGACACAUUCUAAACUAAGAUAAAAAGUAUUUCUAUAGUAGUUGUAAGAAAGCCUUAUUUGGGUAUGGUUUCUUUUUUCACAUUAUUUUUUGGUCUAUUAUACACGCUCUUAAUUCCUUUAAUAUAGGUAAUAAAAAAAGUAAAAGUUUUCCAUGUGAGAAGGGGACAGUAGGGCUUAUAUUUAAGGAGACGCAAUCACAGUCACAAGCUCUCACUCCCACACUUAUGGAAGCACAUCUGUUGUCUCACAAGUUGUGUCAUUACAUGUGUCACUAACUAUUUCGAGACCAGAUUCUGUCAGUAGUGAUCCAGUGGCUUCAGAAACUGGUGGCUUGAGUGGGAAGCCUCUCUUCAAUCUCUCUACCAAUAUCUUGAAGGAUAUGUAUAUCUUGACAAGGGUAUGUUUGUUGGUUAAAAUAUUGUGAUUUGUAAACAUUAUUGUGAUAAGAGCUUUUCUAGUGUAUCCCACCUUUAUAUCUGGAUUGUGAAAGAGAUACUGUAUCCUAGGUUGCUAUUGUAUCACUUAUAAGCACCAUAUUAAGAUGCCAUAUAAAUAAAAUACUUAGAGCUCAUGUUUUCUGCUGUCUAGUUUACCUUGUCUUAAGCUGCUGUUUCUUUUCUGUGGUUUGCUUAUAUCAGGGCAGGAUCCCUUUGAUUGGCUGUGGGGGCAUUAGCAGGUAAAAAUACCCAUUAUUCUGUCACUUCUUCACCAGUUUAGUUGAUUUAUAGCUAUACAUCUUUUAGUUUUCUUUUUAUGAUUUAAGACAAAAUUAAAUCACACAGCCAUUUCUCUCUGCCUUGCAUAUCAAUUUAGUGGAGAGGAUGCAUACAAGAAAAUACGAGCCGGUGCAACUCUUGUUCAGCUCUACACUGCAUUCGCUUAUGGGGGACCUGCACUUAUUCCUCAGAUAAAGGUAUUACUAAUCUUGCACAUGUUAAAGAUUAUGGUUGAUGACUUAACUUUGUUUUUUGUAUGCACCAAAAUUCUCAUUCGUAUUAAAUUGGUUUUAGGCUGAAUUAGCUGAGUGCUUGGAAAGAGAUGGUUUCAAAUCCAUUAUUGAUGCAGUUGGUGCUGAUUACAGAUGACUUUUAUCAACAUAUGAAUACUAUGCUGUAAGAAGCAUAUUAUAGGUGUAUCAGUACUCAAGUUGCAAAAGUUAAUUCCACUUUUUUGCUUCCUUUAAUUUAUAUCUGAGGUCAUCUUAUGUGUAUUUUUAUUGGGUCUUCUGUUGCAUACAAAUGUCCUGACCUGUAAAACCGGGAGCAUAUCUGCUGUACCACAGAGUAUGCCACUCCAUGUGGCACUGAUUGUGAUUGGUUGUAAAAAAUGCAUGUAAGUUAAAAAAUAAUGAUGAAGUAUUUUUUUGACCAAUCAUAAAUAAUGACAUAUGGAGUGGUACACUUCUAUGGGAUAGCAGAUGUUCACCCAUAAAACCGAGGGUUGUUGUGGCAAUUCAGGCCAAAUGGUUUUUGAGCUAUUGUUUGGCAAUAAACCGCUGAAUCAUUUGAGCUUUGAUUAACAUAUUUUUUUAUGGGAUUCAUUGAAUAACAUAAUUUAUUUCAUUGCAGAUUCAUGAAUCAUGAUUGUC